Molecule: unclassified non-coding RNA, 212 nt
Filed under: uncultured Nocardioidaceae bacterium
Lineage: Bacteria; Bacillati; Actinomycetota; Actinomycetes; Propionibacteriales; Nocardioidaceae
Description: contains 16S-23S intergenic spacer region
Rfam family: Bacterial small subunit ribosomal RNA
Source: RNAcentral
UCCGAGUUGACAUACACCAGAAGCCUGCAGAGAUGUGGGUCUCUUUGGACACUGGUGUACAGGUGGUGCAUGGCUGUCGUCAGCUCGUGUCGUGAGAUGUUGGGUUAAGUCCCGCAACGAGCGCAACCCUCGUUCCAUGUUGCCAGCACUUCGGGUGGGGACUCAUGGGAGACUGCCGGGGUCAACUCGGAGGAAGGUGGGGAUGACGUUCC